This 253-nucleotide ribosomal RNA is filed under the name uncultured bacterium. Its description in RNAcentral is "partial 16S ribosomal RNA". It matches the Rfam family "Bacterial small subunit ribosomal RNA", at positions 524 to 776 of the family's 1533-position model. The record is from RNAcentral.
CACGUAGGGGGCAAGCGUUGUCCGGAUUUAUUGGGCGUAAAGAGCGUGUAGGCGGCCAAGCAGGUCCGCUGUGAAAACUCGAGGCUCAACCUCGAGACGUCGGUGGAAACCGUUUGGCUAGAGUCCGGAAGAGGAGAGUGGAAUUCCCGGUGUAGCGGUGAAAUGCGCAGAUAUCGGGAAGAACACCCGUGGCGAAGGCGGCUCUCUGGGACGGUACUGACGCUGAGACGCGAAAGCGUGGGGAGCGAACAGG